Molecule: ribosomal RNA, 421 nt
Filed under: uncultured bacterium
Lineage: Bacteria
Description: bacterial SSU rRNA
Rfam family: Bacterial small subunit ribosomal RNA
Source: RNAcentral
GAGGAAUAUUGGGCAAUGCCCGCAAGGGUGACCCAGCAACGCCGCGUGGAGGAUGAAUGUCGUAAGAUUGUAAACUCCUGUUAGAGGGGAAGAAUAGUACCGGUUGGACCGGUAUAUGACUGUACCCUCAGAGAAAGCCCCGGCUAGCUACGUGCCAGCAGCCGCGGUAAUACGUAGGGGGCAAGCGUUGUCCGGAUUUACUGGGUGUAAAGGGCGCGCAGGCGGGAUAAAAAGUCAGUGGUGAAAUCCUACAGCUUAACUGUAGAACUGCCUUUGAUACUUUUAUUCUUGAGUUCGGGAGAGAGAGACGGAAUUCCAGGUGUAGUGGUGAAAUACGUAGAUAUCUGGAAGAACACCAGUUGCGAAGGCGGUCUCUUGGUCCGACACUGACGCUGAGGCGCGAAAGCGUGGGGAGCAAACA